UUAAUCAUUUUCCGGUUUACCAGAGCCCUCUCUGCUCUCUUUCUUAGUAAUCUCUCCCUUCUCAGUUGCCUCAUUAGAUCCUCCACGUGAGCCUGGUCACAACUGGCCCUUGGCAGUCUGGUCCCUGGAGCACCUGACCCUGGCAAACUGGCCUCUUCAUAGCUGACCCCUGACUGACUGGCUCCUGGCACACUGAUCUCUGGGAAGCCAUACAUCUGGAACCCCUUCUCGGAUCGAUUAGAGCAUCCAAAUGCUGCACAUCCAACCAUGGGCCCAGGAAACAGAUGAAGAGGAUGUCCCUUUCACAAAGGAACCUUUUUGUUUUUUUCAAAAUGGUUAGGCUCCUGGAUGCCCGAGAGCUCUGUAUUGCUUUUUUGUAAAUAGUAUUGCUUUUUUGUAAAUAGUUGCUUUUUUGUAAAUAGUUGUUUGUAAAUAUUUGUAAAAUCCAUGGUUCAACAGGAGCUUCUGUAAAUAGUUUUGUAAAUAGUUUGAAUAUGUAUCAUAGUAAUCAUUUUCAGUCUCCCACUCUGUCUCAAUUUUAUUUAUCGUUGCCCCACCAUAUGUUUUGUUGUCCAAGGGCACUCAUUUGGUCUGUGUUGAAGAUUGUUUUACACUUUAGAUUAAUCUAAUUGUGUUUUUUGGCUGAAUUAAUCUUUUUCUGUUUAACCCUAACCCUCUUUGUUCUCCUUCUCAUUCAUUUGACUUU
Molecule: long non-coding RNA, 706 nt
Organism: Gymnodraco acuticeps
Lineage: Eukaryota; Metazoa; Chordata; Actinopteri; Perciformes; Bathydraconidae
Exons: 3
Source: RefSeq, a predicted model, not a curated record